Molecule: long non-coding RNA, 318 nt
Organism: Salvia splendens (bonfire salvia)
Lineage: Eukaryota; Viridiplantae; Streptophyta; Magnoliopsida; Lamiales; Lamiaceae
Exons: 2
Source: RefSeq, a predicted model, not a curated record
GAGAGAGAGGAACCUCCUUCUUUCUCUCUCUUUCGGUUUCAUGCCGCCGCGGCUGCAUACGGCCGGAUCUGGGCUGUCCACUGCUCUGCACGAUCGGAUCUAGUUUGAAGAUUGUCUUAGUAUAGAGCGCCAUUAUCUGUAAUUAGGCCAUUUUUUUUAUCUGUAAUAGUAAUUAGUUCAUUUUUUUUAUCCGUAAUAGUAAGCUAGUUACCCCUAAUCCCCCUUAUUUUUCAACGGUAAUGUUUUGAUAUUUUUAUAUCUGUAAUAUAGUAAUUAGGCCAUUUAUCUGUAAUAGUAAGUAGCUGGUUACCCCCUUAA